GACGAACGCUGGCGGCGUGCUUAACACAUGCAAGUCGAACGGAAAGGCCCUGCUUUUGUGGGGUGCUCGAGUGGCGAACGGGUGAGUAACACGUGAGUAACCUGCCCUUGACUUUGGGAUAACUUCAGGAAACUGGGGCUAAUACCGGAUAGGAGAUCCCGCUGCAUGGUGGGGGUUGGAAAGUUUCGGCGGUUGGGGAUGGACUCGCGGCUUAUCAGCUUGUUGGUGGGGUAGUGGCUUACCAAGGCUUUGACGGGUAGCCGGCCUGAGAGGGUGACCGGCCACAUUGGGACUGAGAUACGGCCCAGACUCCUACGGGAGGCAGCAGUGGGGAAUAUUGCACAAUGGGCGGAAGCCUGAUGCAGCAACGCCGCGUGCGGGAUGACGGCCUUCGGGUUGUAAACCGCUUUCGCCUGUGACGAAGCGUGAGUGACGGUAAUGGGUAAAGAAGCACCGGCUAACUACGUG
This 468-nucleotide ribosomal RNA is filed under the name uncultured bacterium. Its description in RNAcentral is "partial 16S ribosomal RNA". It matches the Rfam family "Bacterial small subunit ribosomal RNA", at positions 28 to 507 of the family's 1533-position model. The record is from RNAcentral.